Molecule: long non-coding RNA, 508 nt
Organism: Hemicordylus capensis (graceful crag lizard)
Lineage: Eukaryota; Metazoa; Chordata; Lepidosauria; Squamata; Cordylidae
Exons: 4
Source: RefSeq, a predicted model, not a curated record
CAAGUAUUUAAACCUUCUCCUUCUAGGGUGGAACUAUGCCAUUGACACUAGAGUAUAUAAACAAAUGGCUAUGCUGGCAAGAUAUCUAAAUCUAUAGCAACUGCAGAAAUUCAUCUUUGGGCUGGCGACCAAACUUCAAUCUUUCUGGGAUCCAUCAUCAAGCUGGAGUUCGGUAUGGUGAUGUGUCCACACUAGGGCUGUCACAUGAUUCAAGAAACGUUAGCCGCCAGUGACAGAUUGGCGGGAUCAUCUCGUACACAUGGAACAGGAUCAGAGGGAAGCAGAACGUACCCUUCUUUCCAGAGGAGAACCUAUGGAUUGAAAGCUGGGCUUUUCCUUGGACAGCAAAACAAAGGGAACUGACUUCUAAACAGGCAGUGAACUGGAGAGACCAAAUUCCCUGAUAAAACCAGAAACUCCUGGAAUGGGUCUUUGAAGAUGUUCCUCACUGGAUUGUUCUUGUAGAAAAUGUAAGUGUUGUAAGUUACUUUUCCCCUUAAAGUGCAGC